Nycticebus coucang (slow loris) is the source of this 2246-nucleotide RNA transcript. It is a transcript of the gene named pumilio homolog 3-like, with no coding region annotated. The record is from RefSeq and is a predicted model, not a curated record. NCBI's taxonomy places the organism in Eukaryota, Metazoa, Chordata, Mammalia, Primates, Lorisidae. The transcript has 2 exons.
CCACGUGUGUGAGUUACCACAAUGGAAGUCAAAGGGGAAAAAAAAUUCACAGGAAAGAGUACAAAGGCAUCACAAGAAAAAAACAAAUUUCAUAAAAACAAUGAUUCUGGUUUUUUAAGGACAUUCCCAAGAAAAGGUGCUAAGGAAGGUGGAUCUAAAAUUACAUCUAAGAACUUUGAGAAAAGUACCACAAAACCUGGGGAAAAGGGUCUGAAGCAGUUCAAGAACAAGCAACCAGGAGACAAAGCGCCAAAGAACAAAUUCCAGCCGGCAAAUAAAUUCAGCAAGAAGAGAAAAUUCCAGCCAGAUAGCAAAAGUGAUGCAUCAGCAAUCAAGAAACCCAAAUGGGAUGACUUCAAAAAGAAGAAGAAAGAACUGAAGCAGAAUAGGCAACUCAGCAAUAAGACCAACUGUGACGUUGUUGUUCGAGCAAAGCAGAUCUGGGAGAUUUUAAGAAGAAAAGACUGUGUGACAAAGAGAAAAAAGUAAAGUUAAUGAAUGACUUGCAGAAGUUGAUCCAAGGGAAAAUUAAAACUAUUGCAUUUGCACAUGAUUCAACUCGUGUGAUCCAAUGUUACAUUCAGUAUGGUAAUGAAGAACAGAGAAAACAGGCCUUCAAAGAAUUGUGAGAUGAUUUGGUUGAAUUAAGUAAAGCCAAAUAUUCCAGAAAUGUUGUUAAGAAAUUUCUCAUGUAUGGAAGUAAACCAGAUUGCAGAGAUAAUCCGAAGCUUUAAAGGCCAUGUGAGGAAGCUGCCGCGGCAUGCGGAAGCCUCAGCCAUCGUGGAGUACGCAUACAAUGACAAAGCCAUUUUGGAGCAGAGGAUCAUGCUGACGGAAGAGCUCUACGGGAACACAUUCCAGCUGUCCAAGACAGCAGAUCACCCAACUCUGGAAAAAGUAUUAGAGGUGCAGCCAGAAAAAUCAGAGCUCAUUAUGGAUGAAAUGAAACAGAUUCUAACUCCAAUGGCACAAAAGGAAGCUGUGAUUAAGCACUCAUUGGAGCAUAAAGUAUUCUUGGAUUUUUUUACCUAUGCGCCCCCCAAACUCAGAUCAGAAACGAUUGAAGCCAUCCGCGAACCAGUGGUAUACCUGGCGCACACACACGAUGGCGCCAGAAUGGCCAUGCACUGCAGGGCUCACCCAAGAACAGGAAAGUGAUUAUGAAAACAAUGAAGACUUACGUUGAAAAACUGGCUAAUGGCCAACACUCCCAUUUAGUUUUACUGGCGGCUUUUGAUUGCAUUGAUGACACCAAGCCUGUGAAGCAGAUUAUCAUAUCAGAAAUCAUCAGUUCCUUGCCUAACAUAGUAAAUGAUAAAUAUGAAAGGAAGGUCCUAAUGUAUUUGCUAAGCCCCAGAGAUCCUGCACAUACAGUGCGAGAAAUCAUUGAAGUUCUACAAAAGGGAGAUGGAAAUGCACACAGUAAGAAAGACACAGAGAUCCGCUGACGGGAGCUCUCGGAAUCCAUUUCUCCAGUUUUGCUAAACUACCUGCAAGGGCAUGCCCAGGAGAUGGUUCUAGACAAGUCUGCGUGUGUGUUGGUGUCCACCACUCUGGGAUCUGCCACGAAUGCCAUCGCCAGCUUGGCAGCAGCAGAACUACAUCCUGGUGGCAAGGAUGGAGAGCUUCACGUUGCAGAGCAUCCUGCAGGACAUCUAGUUCUGAAGUGGCUCAUAGAGCAAGAUGAGAAGAUGAAAGAGAGUGGGACAGAAGGUUGUUUUGCAAAAACACUUGUAGAGCAUGUUGGUAUGAAGAACCUAAAGUCCUGGGCCAGUGUAAAUCGAGGUGCCAUUAUUCUCUCCAGCCUUCUUCAGAGUUCUGACCCAGAAAUUGCAAACAAAGUCAAAGCUGGACUAAAGAGCCUGGUUCCCACUCUGGAAAAAAACAAAAACACCAGCAAAAAAGAGUUAAACGCAGGAUGGGAUGAUUUUUCCUGUUCAACACGGAAGAGAAUGGCAAGGGUUCGGCAGCAGCAGAGAAGGGCUGAGGUUCACCUCACUAAUAAUUUGGGUGCUCUGGAAGACUUGGAGCAUCCCGAAAGAAAAUCCAGCCUCGGAGUGGUUGCAUACAUUGAAGUCAUCUCUUGCCACCAUCUGCCCAGGAAAGUUAUCCCGCUAAUAUUGGACUUUCACAUGGAGGUCUUUUCCACAUCUUACUGGGAACUCUUCACACUGGCUGGAACUGUCUGCAUUUAUUCUAACAACUGCUAUAAGAAAGAAAGGCAACACUUCCAUUCUACAGGGUGA